UGGGUGGUUCAGUGGUAGAAUUCUCGCCUGCCACGCGGGAGGCCCGGGUUCGAUUCCCGGCCCAUGCAGCACGCCCUCCCAUUUUGGUGCUGCAGCAGCACCAAGGCGUAGCUGCGCUCGCCUCUGCCGCCUCCUUACACUCGGGGCGCGCGAGCGAGUCCGGCACCGGCUGCGCUCCCACGCGCGACGGCCCUCUGCCCUUUCUUCCGUGCCUCUCUCGACUGACUUAGGGAUGAGCCUACCCCACGCACCCACACACCUUGGUGACAACAACCCCUCCAGACACGAGAGCGCGCCAGACACCAGAACUUGGCAGCCUCCUGGUCCUGUUUCUCUUCAUUGCCCUGCCACCGCCUCUGCCCGACGCAUUUCACUUCACGGAACACCGCCAGGCACCACGGGCUUGCAGCCACUCGCACCACCCCUUCUC
Molecule: transfer RNA, 430 nt
Filed under: Homo sapiens (human)
Lineage: Eukaryota; Metazoa; Chordata; Mammalia; Primates; Hominidae
Description: LNC_000188
Rfam family: tRNA (bases 1-68)
Source: RNAcentral